Molecule: ribosomal RNA, 200 nt
Filed under: Klebsiella pneumoniae
Lineage: Bacteria; Pseudomonadati; Pseudomonadota; Gammaproteobacteria; Enterobacterales; Enterobacteriaceae
Description: partial 16S ribosomal RNA
Rfam family: Bacterial small subunit ribosomal RNA
Source: RNAcentral
CUCAAAUGAAUUGACGGGGGCCCGCACAAGCGGUGGAGCAUGUGGUUUAAUUCGAUGCAACGCGAAGAACCUUACCUGGUCUUGACAUCCACAGAACUUUCCAGAGAUGGAUUGGUGCCUUCGGGAACUGUGAGACAGGUGCUGCAUGGCUGUCGUCAGCUCGUGUUGUGAAAUGUUGGGUUAAGUCCCGCAACGAGCGC